RNAcentral lists this long non-coding RNA (412 nucleotides) under Brassica rapa (field mustard). RNAcentral's name for it is "long non-coding RNA (BRAP_LNC002187)". The record is from RNAcentral. Lineage: Eukaryota; Viridiplantae; Streptophyta; Magnoliopsida; Brassicales; Brassicaceae.
GUGGCUCAAAGAGAGAGUUUCAUGUGAGUAGAUAGAUUAACACAAAGAAACUGAUACAUAUUCACUUUUUAUUAGAGAAUAUAAGUACUUAUCUUGUAUUUUUUUUUUGUAACACACUUAUCUUGUGCUUAUAUUUGCAGGCUUGGGAUACACUUAUUAGACGAUAAUAUCUCUCGCAAAUAUGGGAGCAAUCAAUCUUGAAAAAAGCCACAAGGAUCACUUGUUUCUUUAAAUCUGAGAUAAUUGUCGUUAUAUUCUUUCACAAUUUUGCCAGAGCCUCUUUUUUUUUUAACUUAUCAAGAAGAUCUAAGUUUGUAAAAUCACAUUUUUUUUUUUACAUUUAGUAAAUAAGUUCACUUCGUGCGUUAUAAAAUGAUGAAAAUUAGGAAAAAGUCCAAGGUUAAAAGUCCAC